This 389-nucleotide ribosomal RNA is filed under the name uncultured Clostridium sp. Its description in RNAcentral is "bacterial SSU rRNA". It matches the Rfam family "Bacterial small subunit ribosomal RNA", at positions 355 to 759 of the family's 1533-position model. Lineage: Bacteria; Bacillati; Bacillota; Clostridia; Eubacteriales; Clostridiaceae. The record is from RNAcentral.
UGGGGAAUAUUGCACAAUGGGGGAAACCCGUCGAUGCAGCAACGCCGCGUGAGUGAUGAAGGUUUUCGGUAUCGUAAAGCUCUGUCUUUGGGGAAGAUAAUGACGGUACCCAAGGAGGAAGCCACGGCUAACUACGUGCCAGCAGCCGCGGUAAUACGUAGGUGGCGAGCGUUAUCCGGAUUUACUGGGCGUAAAGGGAGCGUAGGCGGAUGAUUAAGUGGGAUGUGAAAUACCCGGGCUCAACUUGGGUGCUGCAUUCCAAACUGGUUAUCUAGAGUGCAGGAGAGGAGAGUGGAAUUCCUAGUGUAGCGGUGAAAUGCGUAGAGAUUAGGAAGAACACCAGUGGCGAAGGCGACUCUCUGGACUGUAACUGACGCUGAGCUCGAAAG